Molecule: unclassified non-coding RNA, 350 nt
Filed under: Hevea brasiliensis (rubber tree)
Lineage: Eukaryota; Viridiplantae; Streptophyta; Magnoliopsida; Malpighiales; Euphorbiaceae
Source: RNAcentral
AGGUCAUGGAAUCAUAUGAGGUAGCAAUUAAUGGGAAGGUGUUUCCAGGUAUGGCAUUAUUUGAGUUUUGAACUGUUGUGUACAUUUUUUGUAGUUGGUCUCUGGAAAUUUGCAUUGACUAGAUAAUUUCUGCUUCAGUUUGUCAACCAGAAAUCAUGGAGUUAAUUAGGCAUAAUGUUGUGUUAAAUUUAAAUUAGGAUUUCUCAUUUUUAAUGGACAUUCAGUCCAUGGAUUUGAAUUGCCGCUGCAUUCUCUGGUAACAAAAAUAGACUUGUAAUGGUUAUAACUUAACAGUAACCGCCUAUCGCUGUGUAAUUUUUUUUUUUAAUUUGCAAAGUUCAUGAAAUGAA